RNAcentral lists this long non-coding RNA (232 nucleotides) under Carica papaya (papaya). RNAcentral's name for it is "long non-coding RNA (CPAP_LNC007245)". Lineage: Eukaryota; Viridiplantae; Streptophyta; Magnoliopsida; Brassicales; Caricaceae. The record is from RNAcentral.
GGUAAGUAUUUUUUUAAGUUUUGAAGUUUGGUUUCUCUUUAACUUUCGAUAUUAGUUUUUGAGUAUUAUGUUGGAUAUUUUUUAGUCAAGAAAGUGAUCAAAAUCAUCCAGAAACUCUACCAAAUUUUUAAGAGAAAAAUGUCAUAAAUAAAGACAAAACUCUGCCAAAUUAAGAUUGCGACUGCUAAGGACCUAAGGUAAGUGAGUAUUAUGAUUUUGUUAGCCUAUGUAG